Molecule: non-coding RNA, 605 nt
Filed under: Pongo abelii (Sumatran orangutan)
Lineage: Eukaryota; Metazoa; Chordata; Mammalia; Primates; Hominidae
Source: RNAcentral
AUGAAUUAAUUCCUACCACUGUCAGCUGGAAGCCAACCCUGGCUGAGCCCUGCACUGGCCAGAGGCAACUCAGUGUGAGCCAGUCCAGGGUCAGAUCCUGGGCUGAUGCCACCUGAGGGCGGGGUGGGCGUAGCCUCCGUGGACAUGGGAGACUCCAGGUGCAGGAGAGAAGGAGGUGGACUUCCUCUGGGUCUUCCCAAAUUCUUCAGGAGACUCUAGUCACGAAAUUUCCUGGCUUGGUGGUAACAGAAGAGUCUCCUCCAGGAUGGAUGAGCCAGUCCUAACACAGGACCAGCAUUGCUCUGCCACGUCCAAGCCUCCUCUGAGAUUCUUCCUCCAUGCAACCACUUCCCCUGGGGCAUGGCCACCUCCCUGGAAGCCGCCAACAUGCUCGGCUGGGCCCUGACACUCUGGAGGCUUGAGAAUCUCUCUAUUUUUGAAUGAUGUGCUUAUCCUCUGCCCCCAGGCUGUUCCCUUGAAGAAUCCACCUCCCUGCAGGGUUGGGGGAGCGCAGAAUGGGAGGAAGAUACAAAUACCAAUUUUAUAGCAAGAAUGCAAAAAGAGGCCAGCGCGGUGGCUCGAGCCUGGAAUCCCAGCGCUUUGGA